UACGGAGGGGGCUAGCGUUGUUCGGAAUUACUGGGCGUAAAGCGCACGUAGGCGGCUUUGUAAGUUAGAGGUGAAAGCCCAGGGCUUAACCCUGGAAUUGCCUUUAAGACUGCAUCGCUAGAAUCGUGGAGAGGUAAGUGGAAUUCCGAGUGUAGAGGUGAAAUUCGUAGAUAUUCGGAAGAACACCAGUGGCGAAGGCGACUUACUGGACACGUAUUGACACUUAGGUGCGAAAGCGUGGGGAGCAAACAGG
This 253-nucleotide ribosomal RNA is filed under the name uncultured bacterium. RNAcentral's name for it is "partial 16S ribosomal RNA". It matches the Rfam family "Bacterial small subunit ribosomal RNA", at positions 524 to 776 of the family's 1533-position model. The record is from RNAcentral.